Molecule: ribosomal RNA, 400 nt
Filed under: uncultured bacterium
Lineage: Bacteria
Description: bacterial SSU rRNA
Rfam family: Bacterial small subunit ribosomal RNA
Source: RNAcentral
CAGGUCUUGACAUCCAGAGAACUUUCCAGAGAUAGAUUGGUGCCUUCGGGAACCGAGUGACAGGUGCUGCAUGGCUGUCGUCAGCUCGUGUCGUGAGAUGUUGGGUUAAGUCCCGUAACGAGCGCAACCCUUAUCCUUAUUUGCCAGCGGUUCGGCCGGGAACUCUAAGGAGACUGCCGGUGACAAACCGGAGGAAGAUGGGGACGACGUCAAGUCACCAUGGCCCUUACGACCUGGGCUACACACGUGCUACAAUGGGGCGUACAAAGGGUUGCGAAGCCGCGAGGUGGAGCUAAUCCCAUAAAACGUCUCGUAGUCCGGAUUGCAGUCUGCAACUCGACUGCAUGAAGUCGGAAUCGCUAGUAAUCGCGAAUCAGAAUGUCGCGGUGAAUACGUUCCC